This 433-nucleotide ribosomal RNA is filed under the name uncultured bacterium. RNAcentral's name for it is "partial 16S ribosomal RNA". It matches the Rfam family "Bacterial small subunit ribosomal RNA", at positions 29 to 507 of the family's 1533-position model. The record is from RNAcentral.
AACGAACGCUGGCGGCAUGCCUAAUACAUGCGAGUCGAACGAGAUCUUCGGAUCUAGUGGCGCACGGGUGCGUAACGCGUGGGAAUCUGCCCUUGGGUUCGGAAUAACUUCUGGAAACGGAAGCUAAUACCGGAUGAUGACGUAAGUCCAAAGAUUUAUCGCCCAAGGAUGAGCCCGCGUAGGAUUAGGUAGUUGGUGAGGUAAAGGCUCACCAAGCCGACGAUCCUUAGCUGGUCUGAGAGGAUGAUCAGCCACACUGGGACUGAGACACGGCCCAGACUCCUACGGGAGGCAGCAGUAGGGAAUAUUGGACAAUGGGCGAAAGCCUGAUCCAGCAAUGCCGCGUGAGUGAUGAAGGCCUUAGGGUUGUAAAGCUCUUUUACCCGGGAUGAUAAUGACAGUACCGGGAGAAUAAGCGCCGGCUAACUCCGUG